This 392-nucleotide ribosomal RNA is filed under the name uncultured bacterium. Its description in RNAcentral is "partial 16S ribosomal RNA". It matches the Rfam family "Bacterial small subunit ribosomal RNA", at positions 523 to 918 of the family's 1533-position model. The record is from RNAcentral.
CUACGGAGGAUGCGAGCGUUAUCCGGAUUUAUUGGGUUUAAAGGGAGCGUAGGCGGGAGCUUAAGUCAGCGGUUAAAUGGUGCGGCUCAACCGUGCCCUGCCGUUGAAACUGGGUUUCUUGAGAGUGCAAGAGGCGGAUGGAAUUCAUGGUGUAGCGGUGAAAUGCUUAGAUAUCAUGAAGAACUCCGAUUGCGAAGGCAGUCCGCUGGGGCACGUCUGACGCUGAUGCUCGAAGGUGCGGGAAUCAAACAGGAUUAGAUACCCUGGUAGUCCGCACGGUAAACGAUGAUUACCCGCUGUCGGCGGCAGACAGUCGGCGGCCAAGCGAAAGCGAUAAGUAAUCCACCUGGGGAGUACGCCGGCAACGGUGAAACUCAAAGGAAUUGACGGGG